UGUGUGUAGGACCGUCGGUCUACCAAGCAAUAUCACUCGCUCGAUGGAAGAUCUUCCCUAUGCCGU
This 66-nucleotide microRNA precursor is filed under the name Bombyx mori (domestic silkworm). RNAcentral describes it as "mir-2774 microRNA precursor family". It matches the Rfam family "mir-2774 microRNA precursor family". The record is from Rfam by way of RNAcentral. Lineage: Eukaryota; Metazoa; Arthropoda; Insecta; Lepidoptera; Bombycidae.